This 383-nucleotide ribosomal RNA is filed under the name uncultured bacterium. RNAcentral's name for it is "bacterial SSU rRNA". It matches the Rfam family "Bacterial small subunit ribosomal RNA", at positions 94 to 509 of the family's 1533-position model. The record is from RNAcentral.
AGUGGCGUACGGGUGAGUAACACGUGGAACAUAUACCUCUUGGUGGGGAAUAACCCUGGGAAACCGGGGCUAAUACCGCAUAAGCCUGAAAAGGGAAAACAGUAAUGUGCCGAGAGAGGAGUCCGCGGCCGAUUAGCUAGUUGGUAGGGUAAAGGCCUACCAAGGCAAUGAUCGGUAGCCGGCCUGAGAGGGCACACGGCCACACUGGCACUGAAACACGGGCCAGACUCCUACGGGAGGCAGCAGUGGGGAAUCUUGCACAAUGGAGGAAACUCUGAUGCAGCGACGCCGCGUGAGCGAUGAAGCCCUUCGGGGUGUAAAGCUCUUUCGACAGGAACGAUAAUGACGGUACCUGAAAAAGAAGCUGCGGCUAACUACGUGCC